GAUGAACGCUAGCGGCAGGCCUAACACAUGCAAGUCGAGGGGUAACAGGGAGAAGCUUGCUUUUCCGCUGACGACCGGCGCACGGGUGCGUAACGCGUAUACAAUCUGCCUUAUACUGGGGUAUAGCCUUUAGAAAUGAAGAUUAGUCCCCCAUAGUCUCUUAGAGUGGCAUCAUUUUAGGAGUAAAGGUUACGGUAUAAGAUGAGUAUGCGUUCUAUUAGUUUGUUGGUGAGGUAACGGCUCACCAAGGCUACGAUAGAUAGGGGCCCUGAGAGGGGGAUCCCCCACACUGGUACUGAGACACGGACCAGACUCCUACGGGAGGCAGCAGUGAGGAAUAUUGGACAAUGGAGGCAACUCUGAUCCAGCCAUGCCGCGUGCAGGAAGACUGCCCUAUGGGUUGUAAACUGCUUUUAUAUAGGAAGAAACCUACUUACGUGUAAGUAGCUGACGGUACUAUAAGAAUAAGGAUCGGCUAACUCCGUGCCAGCAGCCGCGGUAAUACGGAGGAUCCAAGCGUUAUCCGGAAUC
RNAcentral lists this ribosomal RNA (531 nucleotides) under uncultured bacterium. Its description in RNAcentral is "bacterial SSU rRNA". It matches the Rfam family "Bacterial small subunit ribosomal RNA", at positions 28 to 552 of the family's 1533-position model. The record is from RNAcentral.